CAUGGGCGAAGCCAUGAGGCUUAAUACCGCGUUGAGGGAAGAAGGCGUAUGGGUUAUAAACCUCUUUUUUCAGCGCAGGAACAAAAUGACGUGUACCUGAAGAAUAAGCAUCGGCUAACUCCGUGCCAGCAGCCGCGGUAAGACGGAGGAUGCAAGUGUUAUCCGAGAAUUACUGGGCGUAAAGCGUCUGUAGGUGGUUUAAUAAGUCAACUGUUAAAUCUUGAAGCUUAACUUCAAAACAGCAGUCGAAACUAUUAAACUAGAGUAUAGUAGAGGUAAAGGGAAUUUCCAGUGGAGCGGUAGAAAUGCGUAGAUAUUGGAAAGAACACCGAUGGCGAAAGCACUUUACUGGGCUAUUACUAACACUCAGAGACGAAAGCUAGGGUAGCAAAUGGGAUUAGAUACCCCAGUAGUCCUAGCUGUAAACAAUGGAUACUAGAUGUUGAACAGAUCGACCUGUGCAGUAUUAAAGCUAACGCGUUAAGUAUCCCGCCUGAGAAGUAUGCUCGCAAGAGUGAAACUCACAGGAAUCGACGGGGGCCCGCACAAGCGGUGGAGCAUGUGGUUCAAUUCGAUGCAACGCGAAGAACCUUACCAGAGUUGACAUGAUACGAAUAU
Molecule: ribosomal RNA, 618 nt
Filed under: uncultured bacterium
Lineage: Bacteria
Description: bacterial SSU rRNA
Rfam family: Bacterial small subunit ribosomal RNA
Source: RNAcentral